UGGGGAAUUUUGCACAAUGGGGGAAACCCUGAUGCAGCGACGCCGCGUGAUUUAGAAGGCCUUCGGGUUGUAAAAAUCUUUUUUAUGGGAUGAAAAUGACAGUACCAUAAGAAUAAGGUCCGGCUAAAUACGUGCCAGCAGCCGCGGUAAUACGUAGGGCGCAAGCGUUAUCCGGAAUUAUUGGGCGUAAAGAGCUUGUAGGCGGUUCGUCGCGUCUGGUGUGAAAGCCCAUCGCUUAACGGUGGGUUUGCGCCGGGUACGGGCGGGCUAGAGUGCAGUAGGGGAGACUGGAAUUCCCGGUGUAACGGUGGAAUGUGUAGAUAUCGGGAAGAACACCAAUGGCGAAGGCAGGUCUCUGGGCUGUUACUGACGCUGAGAAGCGAAAGCGUGGGGAGCGAACAGG
Molecule: ribosomal RNA, 403 nt
Filed under: Verrucomicrobiota bacterium
Lineage: Bacteria; Pseudomonadati; Verrucomicrobiota
Description: Verrucomicrobia bacterium partial 16S ribosomal RNA
Rfam family: Bacterial small subunit ribosomal RNA
Source: RNAcentral